AAAUUGAAGAGUUUGAUCAUGGCUCAGAUUGAACGCUGGCGGCAGGCCUAACACAUGCAAGUCGAACGGUAACAGGAAGCAGCUUGCUGCUUCGCUGACGAGUGGCGGACGGGUGAGUAAUGUCUGGGAAACUGCCUGAUGGAGGGGGAUAACUACUGGAAACGGUAGCUAAUACCGCAUAAUGUCGCAAGACCAAAGAGGGGGACCUUCGGGCCUCUUGCCAUCGGAUGUGCCCAGAUGGGAUUAGCUUGUUGGUGGGGUAACGGCUCACCAAGGCGACGAUCC
Molecule: ribosomal RNA, 285 nt
Filed under: Escherichia coli
Lineage: Bacteria; Pseudomonadati; Pseudomonadota; Gammaproteobacteria; Enterobacterales; Enterobacteriaceae
Also listed under: 1 other name
Description: partial 16S ribosomal RNA
Rfam family: Bacterial small subunit ribosomal RNA
Source: RNAcentral